UACGUAGGGGGCAAGCGUUGUCCGGAUUUAUUGGGUUUAAAGGGCGCGUAGGCGGCCUUGUAAGUCAGUGGUGAAAUACUCCAGCUUAACUGGAGGGGUGCCAAUGAUACUGCAGGGCUUGAGUACAGAUGAGGUAGGCGGAAUUGACGGUGUAGCGGUGAAAUGCAUAGAUAUCGUCAAGAACACCGAUAGCGAAGGCAGCUUACUGGGCUGUAACUGACGCUGAGGCACGAAAGCUAGGGGAGCAAACGGG
Molecule: ribosomal RNA, 253 nt
Filed under: uncultured bacterium
Lineage: Bacteria
Description: partial 16S ribosomal RNA
Rfam family: Bacterial small subunit ribosomal RNA
Source: RNAcentral